This 253-nucleotide ribosomal RNA is filed under the name uncultured bacterium. RNAcentral describes it as "partial 16S ribosomal RNA". It matches the Rfam family "Bacterial small subunit ribosomal RNA", at positions 524 to 776 of the family's 1533-position model. The record is from RNAcentral.
UACGGGGGGGGCAAGCGUUGUUCGGAAUUACUGGGCGUAAAGGGCUCGUAGGCGGCCAACUAAGUCAUACGUGAAAUCCCUCGGCUUAACCGGGGAACUGCGUCUGAUACUGGAUGGCUUGAGUUCGGGAGAGGGAUGCGGAAUUCCAGGUGUAGCGGUGAAAUGCGUAGAUAUCAGGAGGAACACCGGUGGCGAAAGCGCUCGUCUGGCCCAAUACUGACGCUGAUGCGCGAAAGCUAGGGGAGCAAACGGG